RNAcentral lists this ribosomal RNA (269 nucleotides) under uncultured bacterium. RNAcentral describes it as "partial 16S ribosomal RNA". It matches the Rfam family "Bacterial small subunit ribosomal RNA", at positions 793 to 1055 of the family's 1533-position model. The record is from RNAcentral.
GUCCUAGCCGUAAACGAUGAGCACUGGACUGAAGGGUCCUCCAUAGCCUUUCGGUCGAAGCGAAAGUGUUAAGUGCUCCGCCUGGGGAGUAUGGUCGCAAGGCUGAAACUCAAAGAAAUUGACGGGGGCUCACACAAGCGGUGGAGGAUGUGGCUUAAUUCGAGGCUACGCGAAGAACCUUAUCCUAGUCUUGACAUGCACGGAUUAACUCCUGGAAACAGGAGCCAGGCCUUCGGGUACAACGUGCACAGGUGCUGCAUGGCUGUCGU